CAGUCGAGCGGAUUUAUCCUUCGGGAUAAGUUAGCGGCGGACGGGUGAGUAACACGUAGGUAACCUGCCUAUAAGACUGGGAUAACUAUCGGAAACGAUAGCUAAGACCGGAUAAUUGGUUUUCUCGCAUGAGAGAAUUAUGAAACACGGAGCAAUCUGUGGCUUAUAGAUGGGCCUGCGGCGCAUUAGCUAGUUGGUAGGGUAACGGCCUACCAAGGCGACGAUGCGUAGCCGACCUGAGAGGGUGAACGGCCACACUGGGACUGAGACACGGCCCAGACUCCUACGGGAGGCAGCAGUAGGGAAUCUUCCGCAAUGGACGCAAGUCUGACGGAGCAACGCCGCGUGAGUGAUGAAGGUUUUCGGAUCGUAAAGCUCUGUUGCCCUAGACGAACAGCAAGAGGAGUAACUGCCUUUUGUGUGACGGUAUAGGAGAAGAAAGCCCCGGCUAACUACGUGCCAGCAGCCGCGGUAAUACGUAGGGGGCAAGCGUUGUCCGGAAUUAUUGGGCGUAAAGCGCGCGCAGGCGGUCAAUUAAGUUGGGUGUUUAAGCCCGGGGCUCAACCCCGGUUCGCAUCCAAAACUGGUUGACUUGAGUGUAGGAGAGGAAAGUGGAAUUCCACGUGUAGCGGUGAAAUGCGUAGAGAUGUGGAGGAACACCAGUGGCGAAGGCGACUUUCUGGCCUAUAACUGACGCUGAGGCGCGAAAGCGUGGGGAGCAAACAGGAUUAGAUACCCUGGUAGUCCACGCC
Molecule: ribosomal RNA, 752 nt
Filed under: uncultured bacterium
Lineage: Bacteria
Description: bacterial SSU rRNA
Rfam family: Bacterial small subunit ribosomal RNA
Source: RNAcentral